CCUACGGGGUGCAGCAGUGGGGAAUAUUGCACAAUGGGGGAAACCCUGAUGCAGCGACGCCGCGUGAGUGAUGACGUAUUUCGGUAUGUAAAGCUCUAUCAGCAGGGGAGAAAAUGACUGUACCUGAUUAAGAAGCGACGGGUAACCACGUGCCAGCAGCCGCUGUAUUACGUAGGGGGCCAGCGUUAUCAGGAUUUACUGGGUGUAAAGGGAGCGUAGACGGCAGCGCAAGUCUGAAGUGAAAUGCCUGGGCUUAACCCCGGACGUGCUUUGGAAAAUGAGGAGCUAGAGUGCAGGAGAGGUAAGUGGAAUUCCUGGUGUAGCGGUGAAAUGCGUAGAUAUUAGGAGGAACACCAGUGGCGAAGGCGGCUUACUGGACUGUAACUGACGUUGAGGCUCGAAAGCGUGGGGAGCGAACAGGAUUAGAUACCCCGGUAGUC
RNAcentral lists this ribosomal RNA (440 nucleotides) under uncultured bacterium. Its description in RNAcentral is "partial 16S ribosomal RNA". It matches the Rfam family "Bacterial small subunit ribosomal RNA", at positions 338 to 795 of the family's 1533-position model. The record is from RNAcentral.